AUUUAAUUAUGUUUAUCGGCUUAGUUACUUAUAUUGCAUGAUUUUUAUAGUGUGAAGCUAGCUUAUAUAGCAUGGUUAUUAACAUAAUAACAACAACAUUCAAAUAUGCGUCGUUAGAUUACACUUUGUUACAGAAUGCGUUGAGGAAAUAAAGGUUCACUGCUCGUUCCCGGUAGGUGAUAGCAUGAUAAUAUGUAGCCUAUAUGUUGACCAAACUUCUUAAUAAUAUUCGUGCCAAAUUUGAAGUAAAUCCAUGCAGUAUUUUUGAGUUUAUCCCGGACAUACAUACAGACAAACAGACAAAAAUUCUAAAAACUAUAUUUUUGGCUUCGGUAUCG
Molecule: unclassified non-coding RNA, 338 nt
Filed under: Melitaea cinxia (Glanville fritillary)
Lineage: Eukaryota; Metazoa; Arthropoda; Insecta; Lepidoptera; Nymphalidae
Description: misc RNA ENSMCXG00005005108.1
Source: RNAcentral